UCUUUCCUCUUAAAGAAGGCAAGAGAGACCAAGAUUUGUUGCAAGAAUUGGUGAGAAAAUGGGCAAAUUACAAAACUAUGACUCGAUGGCUUUCAAGGUUCUUCCAUUAUCUCGAAAGAUACUUCAUUCCCAUUCGACAACUCCCUUCACUUCAAGAAAACAGCUUCAUAGCUUUCUAUAACUUGGUGUACGGUGAAAUAAAUGGACAAGUAAGAAACACUGUUAUAUCUAUGAUCAAUCAGGAACGCAAUGGAGAACUAAUUGAUCAGGAAUUGGUGAAAAGUAUUGUGACAAUCUAUGUAGAGAUGGGAAUAGAAUCAAUGAAAUAUUACGAGCAAGAUUUUGAAGAAUCACUGCUCAAGGAAAGUGCUGUAUUUUAUUCAGAAAAUGCCUCUAAAUGGAUGCAGAAUGAGCCCUAUGAGGAUUACAUGUUCAUGGUACUGAAAAUAUAAUAAUUUUUUUCAGUAUUUUGUAUGCACAGAUUGCUCGAUUUUCAAUUUUCUUUUCUUGAUGGGAAUUUAGGUUGAAAAAUGCUUGAAGCGUGAGAAAGAAAUAGUUUCUUCUUACCUGCAAGCCACAACCCAAAAGAAGAUACUUCAGGUUGUUGAAAAUGAAUUGGUCAGAAAAUGCUAGUGAACUUGAAGGAAAGAAAUGGUUUGGUGAUGAUUUCUGUUGGCAAAUGAAUCGAUUUUGUAUUAAGAUUGUUAGGCCAUUAAUACUUGUUUAAUGGACCAUAAUUUUUAUUACAUUUCAUUAUAUGUAACUAUAUUUUAACAAACACAUGUAUUGAAUAAAUUCAAUUCUUGCUGAAAAUCUCA
Molecule: unclassified non-coding RNA, 818 nt
Filed under: Hevea brasiliensis (rubber tree)
Lineage: Eukaryota; Viridiplantae; Streptophyta; Magnoliopsida; Malpighiales; Euphorbiaceae
Source: RNAcentral